UGCUGAGACUGAACUAGCUAGAACUAUCUUUGAGCUUGCAAUAUCUCAGCCAACACUUGACAUGCCCUAACUGCUACGAAGGCGUACAUGAUAUCAAAAGGAGAAUCGGAGAGGACACGAGCUUUAUAUGAGCGACUAUUGGACCGCACAAAGCAUUACAAGGUGUGGCGGUGUGGGUUUGUUUUGAAAAGUGUGAAGCUUCUGCUGCGAAACAAGAAGAAGACGAGGAAGAGGAAGACCAAGAAAAAAUAGAUGCUAUUGAACUCAACAAAGAGUGCAUCAGACGUACAG
This is a long non-coding RNA of Brassica oleracea var. oleracea, 291 nucleotides long. RefSeq lists it as uncharacterized. The transcript is spliced from 2 exons. NCBI's taxonomy places the organism in Eukaryota, Viridiplantae, Streptophyta, Magnoliopsida, Brassicales, Brassicaceae. The record is from RefSeq and is a predicted model, not a curated record.